UACAGAGGGUGCGAGCGUUAAUCGGAUUUACUGGGCGUAAAGCGUGAGUAGGUGGCUCGCUAAGUCGAUUGUGAAAGCCCUGGGCUCAACCUGGGAAUUGCAGUCGAUACUGGUGAGCUAGAGUUCGGUAGAGGGUGACGGAAUUCCCGGUGUAGCGGUGAAAUGCGUAGAUAUCCGGAGGAACACCGGUGGCGAAGGCGGCUUCCUGGACCGACUACUGACGCUGAGGCGCGAAAGCUAGGGGAGCAAACGGG
This 254-nucleotide ribosomal RNA is filed under the name uncultured bacterium. Its description in RNAcentral is "partial 16S ribosomal RNA". It matches the Rfam family "Bacterial small subunit ribosomal RNA", at positions 524 to 776 of the family's 1533-position model. The record is from RNAcentral.